Non-coding RNA from Talaromyces marneffei, 72 nucleotides. The record is from the annotation of a RefSeq genome assembly. Lineage: Eukaryota; Fungi; Ascomycota; Eurotiomycetes; Eurotiales; Trichocomaceae.
GCCCAGAUGGUCUAGUGGUUAUGAUACAUCGUUGUGGCCGAUGUGAGCCAUGUUCGAUUCAUGGUCUGGGCA